UACAGAGGUCCCAAGCGUUGUUCGGAUUCAUUGGGCGUAAAGGGUGCGUAGGUGGCGCCGUAAGUCGGGUGUGAAAUUUCGGAGCUUAACUCCGAAACUGCAUUCGAUACUGCGGUGCUUGAGGACUGGAGAGGAGACUGGAAUUCAUGGUGUAGCAGUGGAAUGCGUAGAGAUCAUGAGGAAGACCAGUGGCGAAGGCGGGUCUCUGGACAGUUCCUGACACUGAGGCACGAAGGCCAGGGGAGCAAACGGG
This 253-nucleotide ribosomal RNA is filed under the name uncultured bacterium. RNAcentral describes it as "partial 16S ribosomal RNA". It matches the Rfam family "Bacterial small subunit ribosomal RNA", at positions 524 to 776 of the family's 1533-position model. The record is from RNAcentral.